Non-coding RNA from Helianthus annuus (common sunflower), 145 nucleotides. NCBI's taxonomy places the organism in Eukaryota, Viridiplantae, Streptophyta, Magnoliopsida, Asterales, Asteraceae. The record is from Rfam.
AAAUGCCCUAUGGUAUCUGAUGCCUUGACCUAAUUAAUGUUUUAGGCAUCUCGUUAGACGGGCAGAUAGCGAUGAAAACAGGUUUGCGACACAGUUUGCUGCUACAUUUCUAAGCUUACUGUUACUUUUAUUACUGUUCACAUUU